RNAcentral lists this ribosomal RNA (498 nucleotides) under uncultured bacterium. Its description in RNAcentral is "partial 16S ribosomal RNA". It matches the Rfam family "Bacterial small subunit ribosomal RNA", at positions 30 to 523 of the family's 1533-position model. The record is from RNAcentral.
AUUGAACGCUGGCGGCAUGCCUUACACAUGCAAGUCGAACGGUAACAGGUCUUCGGAUGCUGACGAGUGGCGGACGGGUGAGUAAUACAUCGGAACGUGCCUAGUAGUGGGGGAUAACUACUCGAAAGAGUGGCUAAUACCGCAUGAGAUCUACGGAUGAAAGCAGGGGAUCGCAAGGCCUUGUGCUACUAGAGCGGCCGAUGGCAGAUUAGGUAGUUGGUGGGAUAAAAGCUUACCAAGCCGACGAUCUGUAGCUGGUCGGAGAGGACGAUCAGCCACACUGGGACUGAGACACGGCCCAGACUCCUACGGGAGGCAGCAGUGGGGAAUUUUGGACAAUGGGCGAAAGCCUGAUCCAGCAAUGCCGCGUGCAGGAUGAAGGCCUUCGGGUUGUAAACUGCUUUUGUACGGAACGAAAAGCCCCGGGUUAAUACCCUGGAGUCAUGACGGUACCGUAAGAAUAAGCACCGGCUAACUACGUGCCAGCCGCCGCCGUAA